CCUACGGGGCGCAGCAGUGAGGAAUAUUGGUCAAUGGGCGUAAGCCUGAACCAGCCAAGUCGCGUGAGGGAUGAAGGUUCUAUGGAUCGUAAACCUCUUUUAUAAGGGAAUAAAGUGUGGGACGUGUCCUGUUUUGUAUGUACCUUAUGAAUAAGGAUCGGCUAACUCCGUGCCAGCAGCCGCGGUAAUACGGAGGAUCCGAGCGUUAUCCGGAUUUAUUGGGUUUAAAGGGUGCGUAGGCGGCAUUUUAAGUCAGCGGUGAAAGUCUGUGGCUCAACCAUAGAAUUGCCGUUGAAACUGGGAGGCUUGAGUAUGUUUGAGGCAGGCGGAAUGCGUGGUGUAGCGGUGAAAUGCUUAGAUAUCACGCAGAACCCCGAUUGCGAAGGCAGCCUGCCAAGCCAUGACUGACGCUGAUGCACGAAAGCGUGGGGAUCAAACAGGAUUAGAUACCCGGGUAGUC
Molecule: ribosomal RNA, 460 nt
Filed under: uncultured bacterium
Lineage: Bacteria
Description: partial 16S ribosomal RNA
Rfam family: Bacterial small subunit ribosomal RNA
Source: RNAcentral